ACUUUAACAGAGCGGCCGAUGCGACAGCACCUAUAUCUAUGCUACAGAAUUAUACCACUAUUUGAAUCUAUAUAUUGACGAUUAGGCCAUUCUGAGAUUAAUUACGACUAUAUAAAGAGUCGGGAAGCAAUGACUCGGCGGACUUGGUCCGGGAAAAGCCCUCUUCGCAUUGAAGAGGGUUUUUUGUAUUGGAUACAAUAAACUUCGUAUGAAAGAACCCUAGGAGUUGUGUUAUCAUGGGGAGAACAUAGCUACUACAAUGGUUUCGUGCACGAUAAAAGAAGUCAUUGUGCUAGGAAUCCGUGUUGCAAUGAGUAUACAUGAACAACAUUGGAGGACACUAAUCUAGCCAACAAAAGUUUUCAUUAACUUUGAGUAUGACAGGAAGCAGUGAAAUUGCCCGAUAACUAUUCGGAUCAUUUUUUGGCUUAUCAUGACCCUUAUAUAAAGUGCAAAUCAAACCCUGUUUAAGGGAGGGAGGCAUAUUCAAACUUAACAAAUGCGUUAAAUAAAUUACAUAGACAUAGGUAUAAUGAGUCCUUCAUACACAAUAGAAUCAAUACCUGAAGAUUUACCAUGUGGGAGACUUCUACAAGAAAGUUUGAUUUCGUCACUCGUAAAAAUGAAAUCGGAAUUCCCUGGUAACGGGACAUCAUGACGUAAGAAUUCAUCAAGCUCAGAUUUUAUAUGAUGUUUAAAGUUAUCGUCAAACGAACAAUCUGACGUUUGAGAAUAAAUUCCGGCGAAGUAUUCUCCCCAGUGCAGCGCUAGCGCGGCAGGGUCUCUGACAGUCUGACCGCCAAAUACAACUUCGGCACCUGCCGAGCCUUUAGAUCCUCCACUGGAGCGAGAUUUAACAAGGGACCAAAAUGACUGCUGAUUAACGUCGGCUGCAACUUAUAUAUCAGAGUUAAGGGUAAUAAGAUGUUCUGAUAAAUGUCGAUGUUUUCGGCGAAAUGUACGCUUAGCAUCUUUGUAUAAACGGAAGGAACGGGAAUCGGGACAACGAGGACGACCUUCGUUAUCCCAGAUGCACCUCAGUCGCCACAUGUUAUGAUGUAACUCUUUCAGUUCUCCCUUUCAAUAAGGUUUCAAGAAUUUCUUGAACGCUUUUUAACGAGACUAAGGAGACGUCUUGGAUACCCUUAAUCAGGACAUCGGUAUAAUUGUCAAUAUCAGACGAGUUUUCUAACUGUAUAUUGUCGAGAUUGGAGUUCGUAAUAAAAUGCUGAAGGUUGUACCGAUAGACCGCAGUGCCUGAAGUCGUGUCAUUCAAAUUCCAUUUAAAAGUAUGACGUUCAAUUUGAGAACACAUCACAGAAGACGCAAUUGGAAAUGAUAAGUCAAAAAAGAUAGGUCUAUGAUUGGAUACAUCUAAAUACGUCUGACCACCAAUAUAAGUUGAUAUGAGGUCAAUCUUUGAAGAAUCAAUACUUAUGUGAUCUAUUGAAGAUGAC
Pecten maximus is the source of this 1457-nucleotide long non-coding RNA. RefSeq lists it as uncharacterized. Lineage: Eukaryota; Metazoa; Mollusca; Bivalvia; Pectinida; Pectinidae. The record is from RefSeq and is a predicted model, not a curated record. The transcript has 3 exons.